Molecule: ribosomal RNA, 1372 nt
Filed under: uncultured bacterium
Lineage: Bacteria
Description: bacterial SSU rRNA
Rfam family: Bacterial small subunit ribosomal RNA
Source: RNAcentral
GAUGAACGCUGGCGGCGUGCCUAAUACAUGCAAGUCGAGCGAACGGACGAGAAGCUUGCUUCUCUGAUGUUAGCGGCGGACGGGUGAGUAACACGUGGAUAACCUACCUAUAAGACUGGGAUAACUUCGGGAAACCGGAGCUAAUACCGGAUAAUAUUUUGAACCGCAUGGUUCAAAAGUGAAAGACGGUCUUGCUGUCACUUAUAGAUGGAUCCGCGCUGCAUUAGCUAGUUGGUAAGGUAACGGCUUACCAAGGCAACGAUGCAUAGCCGACCUGAGAGGGUGAUCGGCCACACUGGAACUGAGACACGGUCCAGACUCCUACGGGAGGCAGCAGUAGGGAAUCUUCCGCAAUGGGCGAAAGCCUGACGGAGCAACGCCGCGUGAGUGAUGAAGGUCUUCGGAUCGUAAAACUCUGUUAUUAGGGAAGAACAUAUGUGUAAGUAACUGUGCACAUCUUGACGGUACCUAAUCAGAAAGCCACGGCUAACUACGUGCCAGCAGCCGCGGUAAUACGUAGGUGGCAAGCGUUAUCCGGAAUUAUUGGGCGUAAAGCGCGCGUAGGCGGUUUUUUAAGUCUGAUGUGAAAGCCCACGGCUCAACCGUGGAGGGUCAUUGGAAACUGGAAAACUUGAGUGCAGAAGAGGAAAGUGGAAUUCCAUGUGUAGCGGUGAAAUGCGCAGAGAUAUGGAGGAACACCAGUGGCGAAGGCGACUUUCUGGUCUGUAACUGACGCUGAUGUGCGAAAGCGUGGGGAUCAAACAGGAUUAGAUACCCUGGUAGUCCACGCCGUAAACGAUGAGUGCUAAGUGUUAGGGGGUUUCCGCCCCUUAGUGCUGCAGCUAACGCAUUAAGCACUCCGCCUGGGGAGUACGACCGCAAGGUUGAAACUCAAAGGAAUUGACGGGGACCCGCACAAGCGGUGGAGCAUGUGGUUUAAUUCGAAGCAACGCGAAGAACCUUACCAAAUCUUGACAUCCUUUGACAACUCUAGAGAUAGAGCUUUCCCCUUCGGGGGACAAAGUGACAGGUGGUGCAUGGUUGUCGUCAGCUCGUGUCGUGAGAUGUUGGGUUAAGUCCCGCAAUGAGCGCAACCCUUAAGCUUAGUUGCCAUCAUUAAGUUGGGCACUCUAAGUUGACUGCCGGUGACAAACCGGAGGAAGGUGGGGAUGACGUCAAAUCAUCAUGCCCCUUAUGAUUUGGGCUACACACGUGCUACAAUGGACAAUACAAAGGGCAGCGAAACCGCGAGGUCAAGCAAAUCCCAUAAAGUUGUUCUCAGUUCGGAUUGUAGUCUGCAACUCGACUACAUGAAGCUGGAAUCGCUAGUAAUCGUAGAUCAGCAUGCUACGGUGAAUACGUUCCCGGGUCU